UUACGAUCAUACUAUAUGGAAACACCGAUUCUCGUUCGAUCACCGAAGUUAAGCAACGUCCAACCUGGCCUGUACUUAGUUGGAUGGCCGCUUAAGAAUACCAGAUGCUACA
Acanthosepion pharaonis is the source of this 112-nucleotide non-coding RNA. NCBI's taxonomy places the organism in Eukaryota, Metazoa, Mollusca, Cephalopoda, Sepiida, Sepiidae. The record is from the annotation of a GenBank genome assembly.